This 30-nucleotide non-coding RNA is filed under the name Homo sapiens (human). The record is from RNAcentral. Lineage: Eukaryota; Metazoa; Chordata; Mammalia; Primates; Hominidae.
UCCUACACUAAAAGAAGGCCAUUCUAUUUC